Molecule: ribosomal RNA, 446 nt
Filed under: uncultured bacterium
Lineage: Bacteria
Description: bacterial SSU rRNA
Rfam family: Bacterial small subunit ribosomal RNA
Source: RNAcentral
CCCAGACUCCUACGGGAGGCAGCAGUGGGGGAUAUUGCACAAUGGGGGAAACCCUGAUGCAGCGACGCCGCGUGAGUGAAGAAGUAUUUCGGUAUGUAAAGCUCUAUCAGCAGGGAAGAAAAAAGACGGUACCUGACUAAGAAGCCCCGGCUAACUACGUGCCAGCAGCCGCGGUAAUACGUAGGGGGCAAGCGUUAUCCGGAUUUACUGGGUGUAAAGGGAGCGUAGACGGCAAUACAAGUCGGAAGUGAAAUACCCGGGCUUAACCUGGGAACUGCUUUGGAAACUGUAUGGCUGGAGUGCUGGAGAGGUAAGCGGAAUUCCUAGUGUAGCGGUGAAAUGCGUAGAUAUUAGGAGGAACACCAGUGGCGAAGGCGGCUUACUGGACAGUAACUGACGUUGAGGCUCGAAAGCGUGGGGAGCAAACAGGAUUAGAUACCCGUGUA